GACGAACGCUGGCGGCGUGCUUAACACAUGCAAGUCGAACGGAAAGGCCCUGCUUUUGUGGGUUGCUCGAUUGCCGAACGGGUGAGUAACACGUGAGUAACCUGCCCUUGACUUUGGGAUAACUUCAGGAAACUGGGGCUCAUACCGGAUAUGAUCUCCUGCUGCAUGGUGGGCGUUGGAAAGUUUCGGCGGUUGGGGCUGGACUGGCGGGUUAUCCGCUUGUUGGUGGGGUAGUGGCUUACCAAGGGUUUGACGGGUAGCCGGCCUGAGAGGGUGACCGGGGACAUGGGGACUGAGAGACGGAGCAGACGGCUACGGGAGGCAGCAGGGGGGAAUAUUGCAGAAUGGGCGGAAGCCAGAGGCAGCAACGCCGGGUGCGGGAUGACGGGCUUCGGGUUGUAAACCGCUUUCGCCUGUGACGAAGAGGGAGUGACGGUAAUGGGUAAAGAAGCAACGGCUAACUACGUG
This 468-nucleotide ribosomal RNA is filed under the name uncultured bacterium. RNAcentral describes it as "partial 16S ribosomal RNA". It matches the Rfam family "Bacterial small subunit ribosomal RNA", at positions 28 to 507 of the family's 1533-position model. The record is from RNAcentral.